UACGGAGGGUGCGAGCGUUGUCCGGAAUCACUGGGCGUAAAGGGCGCGUAGGCGGCUCAUGAAGGCUGUGGUGAAAGCCCGGAGCUCAACUCCGGAACUGCCAUUGAAACUGUUUAGCUUGAGGAUGAGAGAGGUGAGUGGAAUUCCCAGUGUAGAGGUGAAAUUCGUAGAUAUUGGGAAGAACACCGGUGGCGAAGGCGGCUCACUGGCUCAUUACUGACGCUCAGGCGCGAUAGCGUGGGGAUCAAACAGG
RNAcentral lists this ribosomal RNA (253 nucleotides) under uncultured bacterium. RNAcentral's name for it is "partial 16S ribosomal RNA". It matches the Rfam family "Bacterial small subunit ribosomal RNA", at positions 524 to 776 of the family's 1533-position model. The record is from RNAcentral.